This 486-nucleotide ribosomal RNA is filed under the name uncultured bacterium. RNAcentral describes it as "bacterial SSU rRNA". It matches the Rfam family "Bacterial small subunit ribosomal RNA", at positions 15 to 507 of the family's 1533-position model. The record is from RNAcentral.
GAUCAUGGCUCAGGACGAACGCUGGCGGCGUGCUUAACACAUGCAAGUCGAGCGGAAAGGCUCCUUCGGGGGUACUCGAGCGGCGAACGGGUGAGUAACACGUGAGUAAUCUGCCCUUGGCUUUGGGAUAACUACCGGAAACGGUGGCUAAUACCGGAUACGACCACUCCUUGCAGGAGGUGGUGGUGGAAAGUUUUUCGGCCAGGGAUGUGCUCGCGGCCUAUCAGCUUGUUGGUGGGGUAAUGGCCUACCAAGGCUUCGACGGGUAGCCGGCCUGAGAGGGUGACCGGCCACACUGGGACUGAGACACGGCCCAGACUCCUACGGGAGGCAGCAGUGGGGAAUAUUGGACAAUGGGCGGAAGCCUGAUCCAGCAACGCCGCGUGAGGGAUGACGGCCUUCGGGUUGUAAACCUCUUUCAGUACCGACGAAGCGCCGAUGAUGGUGGUGACGGUAGGUACAGAAGAAGCACCGGCCAACUACGUG